This 341-nucleotide ribosomal RNA is filed under the name Aurelia sp. 2 sensu Dawson et al. (2005). Its description in RNAcentral is "eukaryotic LSU rRNA". It matches the Rfam family "Eukaryotic large subunit ribosomal RNA", at positions 1 to 335 of the family's 3401-position model. The record is from RNAcentral. Lineage: Eukaryota; Metazoa; Cnidaria; Scyphozoa; Semaeostomeae; Ulmaridae.
UUUGACCUCAGAUCAGGCAAGACUACCCGCUGAAUUUAAGCAUAUUAAUAAGCGGAGGAAAAGAAACUAACAAGGAUUCCCUCAGUAACGGCGAGUGAAGUGGGAACGGCUCAAGCUUGAAAUCUCUGUUGCUUGCAACAGCGAAUUGUAGUCUCGAGAAGCGUCUUCCCGGCGGAUCUUCCCUGCCKAAGUUGCUUGGAACAGCACAUCGGAGAGGGUGACAAUCCCGUUUGUGGCAGGGGAGACCGUCCAUGAUGCGCUCUCCAUAAGUCGGGUUGCUUGGGAAUGCAGCCCAAAAUUGGUGGNAAACUCCAUCUAAAGCUAAAUAUUGCCACGAUACC